This 468-nucleotide ribosomal RNA is filed under the name uncultured bacterium. RNAcentral describes it as "partial 16S ribosomal RNA". It matches the Rfam family "Bacterial small subunit ribosomal RNA", at positions 28 to 507 of the family's 1533-position model. The record is from RNAcentral.
GACGAACGCUGGCGGCGUGCUUAACACAUGCAAGUCGAACGGAAAGGCCCUGCUUUUGUGGGGUGCUCGAGUGGCGAACGGGUGAGUAUCACGUGAGUAACCUGCCCUUGACUUUGGGAUAACUUCAGGAAACUGGGGCUAAUACCGGAUAGGAGCUCCUGCUGCAUGGUGGGGGUUGGAAAGUUUCGGCGGUUGGGGAUGGACUCGCGGCUUAUCAGCUUGUUGGUGGGGUAGUGGCUUACCAAGGCUUUGACGGGUAGCCGGCCUGAGAGGGUGACCGGCCACAUUGGGACUGAGAUACGGCCCAGACUCCUACGGGAGGCAGCAGUGGGGAAUAUUGCACAAUGGGCGGAAGCCUGAUGCAGCAACGCCGCGUGCGGGAUGACGGCCUUCGGGUUGUAAACCGCUUUCGCCUGUGACGAAGCGUGAGUGACGGUAAUGUGUAAAGAAGCACCGGCUAACUACGUG